This 464-nucleotide ribosomal RNA is filed under the name uncultured bacterium. RNAcentral describes it as "partial 16S ribosomal RNA". It matches the Rfam family "Bacterial small subunit ribosomal RNA", at positions 339 to 795 of the family's 1533-position model. The record is from RNAcentral.
CUACGGGCUGCUGCAGUGAGGAAUUUUGCGCAAUGGGGGAAACCCUGACGCAGCAACGCCGCGUGAGUGAAGAAGGCUUUCGGGUCGUAAAGCUCUGUCAAGUGGGAAAAAAUACUCAAGGUAAAUAGCCUUGAGGCUUGAUGGUACCACUGGAGGAAGCACCGGCUAACUCCGUGCCAGCAGCCGCGGUAAUACGGAGGGUGCAAGCGUUGAUCGUAAUUAGUGGGCGUAAAGAGCGUGUAGGCGGUAUGGUAAGUCAGAUGUGAAAGCCCUGGGCUCAACUCAGGAAGUGCAUUUGAUACUGCCAGACUUGAGUAUGGGAGAGGAGAGUGGAAUUCCCAGUGUAGAGGUGAAAUUCGUAGAUAUUGGGAGGAACACCCGUGGCGAAGGCGGCUCUCUGGACCAAUACUGACGCUGAGACGCGAAAGCGUGGGGAGCAAGCAGGAUUAGAUACCCCGGUAGUC